CCGGCCGGGCAGGCGGUCGCUUGGCUUAUGCCGAGAGGAAAGUCCGGGCUCCGCAGGGCAGGACGCAGGGGAAAUCCCUGGUGCAGCAAUGCAGGGACAGUGCCGCAGAAACGAUACCUGCGCCUCAGGCGCAAGGGUGAAAAGAGGCAAACCCCGUCCGGUGCAAGGCCUAAUAGGAAGAACAGCCUCUGGCUGGGGAGCUGCCCGUUCCCUCUGUUCUUCGGGUUGGCCGCUUAAGGUGUCCGGUAACGGGCAUCUCAGACGGAUGGCCGCCGUUGCGAAAGCAAUACAGAACCCGGCUUACAGCCCGACCGGAUCC
This 319-nucleotide RNase P RNA is filed under the name Candidatus Fermentibacterota bacterium. RNAcentral's name for it is "Candidatus Fermentibacteria bacterium RNase P RNA component class A". It matches the Rfam family "Bacterial RNase P class A". Rfam says of the family: Ribonuclease P (RNase P) is a ubiquitous endoribonuclease, found in archaea, bacteria and eukarya as well as chloroplasts and mitochondria. Its best characterised activity is the generation of mature 5'-ends of tRNAs by cleaving the 5'-leader elements of precursor-tRNAs. Cellular RNase Ps are ribonucleoproteins. The record is from RNAcentral. Lineage: Bacteria; Pseudomonadati; Candidatus Fermentibacterota.